Molecule: ribosomal RNA, 655 nt
Filed under: uncultured Candidatus Saccharibacteria bacterium
Lineage: Bacteria; Candidatus Saccharimonadota
Description: bacterial SSU rRNA
Rfam family: Bacterial small subunit ribosomal RNA
Source: RNAcentral
GCCGUAAACGAUGGAUACUGGCUGUUGGAGGUAUCGACCCCUUCAGUAGCGAAGCUAACGCGUUAAGUAUCCCGCCUGUGGAGUACGGUCGCAAGACUAAAACAUAAAGGAAUUGACGGGGACCCGCACAAGCGGUGGAUCGUGUUCUUUAAUUCGAUGAUAAACGAAGAACCUUACCAGGGCUUGACAUCCAGGGAAGGUCUGCGAAAGCGGACUGUGCCUUUUGGAACCCUGUGACAGGUGCUGCAUGGCCGUCGUCAGCUCGUGUCGUGAGAUGUUUGGUUAAGUCCAUCAACGAGCGCAACCCUUGCAACUAGUUGGAUUUUUCUAGUUGGACUGCCCCGGUAACGGGGAGGAAGGAGGGGAUGAUGUCAGGUCAGUAUUGCCCUUACGUCCUGGGCUAGAAACACGAUACAAUGGCUAGUACAAUGCGCAGCGAAGCCGCGAGGUGGAGCAAAUCGCAUCAAAGCUAGUCCCAGUUCGGAUUGGAGGCUGAAACUCGCCUCCAUGAAGUCGGAAUCGCUAGUAAUCGCAGAUCAGCAAGCUGCGGUGAAUACGUUCCCGGGUCUUGUACACACCGCCCGUCAAACCAUGAAAGUGACCAACACCCGAAGUCCGAUUCGUCGGCCUAAGGUGGGGGGGCAUGAUUGGGGUU